GUAGGGGGCAAGCGUUAUCCGGAUUUACUGGGUGUAAAGGGAGCGUAGACGGUUUUGCAAGUCUGAAGUGAAAGCCCGGGGCUCAACCCCGGGACUGCAUUGGAAACUGUUCAUCUAGAGUGCUGGAGAGGUAAGUGGAAUUCCUAGUGUAGCGGUGAAAUGCGUAGAUAUUAGGAGGAACACCAGUGGCGAAGGCGGCUUACUGGACGGUAACUGACGUUGAGGCUCGAAAGCGUGGGGAGCAAAUAGGAUUAGAUACCCUGGUAGUCCACGCCGUAAACGAUGACUACUAGGUGUCGGGCAGCAAAGCUGUUCGGUGCCGCAGCAAACGCAAUAAGUAGUCCACCUGGGGAGUACGUUCGCAAGAAUGAAACUCAA
This 378-nucleotide ribosomal RNA is filed under the name uncultured bacterium. Its description in RNAcentral is "bacterial SSU rRNA". It matches the Rfam family "Bacterial small subunit ribosomal RNA", at positions 527 to 904 of the family's 1533-position model. The record is from RNAcentral.